This 634-nucleotide long non-coding RNA is filed under the name Mytilus galloprovincialis (Mediterranean mussel). The record is from RNAcentral. Lineage: Eukaryota; Metazoa; Mollusca; Bivalvia; Mytilida; Mytilidae.
AAAAUAGGUGGCAAAUAAUACAAAUCAUAGUUCACCUUCAUGAUGUAUUAAAGUGUAAAUAUUAAUGAUGAUUUGGAAAAAAUAACAAUAUCCAUUGAAAUUCAAAGGUAUCAGUUAAACAUUCUAAUUUAAGUAAUAAACAUAUUUGUUUGUUUUAAGUCAGAUUUUCUUCAUAUUUUUUUUUGAGUGAAAAUGUAAUACCCAAAUCUUCUUUCAUUCAUCUUAGGUGCAUGACUCUUGCUUGAUAAUGAUGAAUAAUUCCUAGUUCUAACUUGUUUCUACAAAAACAGAUCUUGAUCAUACAUUUUUCAAAAACAUCUGUUAACAUUAUAUUAUAUCAUCUGUAAUAGUGCUACAUGUAUUGCAAAGAUAAAUACAGUAUAGAAGAAUAUUUUUCAUGAAGUGUUGUAAAAAAACUAAUAUACCAUAGAAGUAGAUGCGAGUUAGUACAUAUUAUUCAGAUCUUUAGAAAGAAACAUUAAUUUAUGGGUAAUGAUAUUAAAAUGUGAUAUGUUCUGUUAUGUAAAUAUUGUUGUGCAUUAAAGAGAAUAAAUAAAUGGUCAUUAAAUCAUUGAAAUCCUGAUGUGUUGAUUGUCUGAUCUAUCAAACUUAUUGAUCUGUUAGUAUAAAGGGG